AGCGGCGGACGGGUGAGUAAUGCCUAGGAAUCUGCCUGGUAGUGGGGGAUAACGCUCGGAAACGGACGCUAAUACCGCAUACGUCCUACGGGAGAAAGCAGGGGACCUUCGGGCCUUGCGCUAUCAGAUGAGCCUAGGUCGGAUUAGCUAGUUGGUGAGGUAAUGGCUCACCAAGGCGACGAUCCGUAACUGGUCUGAGAGGAUGAUCAGUCACACUGGAACUGAGACACGGUCCAGACUCCUACGGGAGGCAGCAGUGGGGAAUAUUGGACAAUGGGCGAAAGCCUGAUCCAGCCAUGCCGCGUGUGUGAAGAAGGUCUUCGGAUUGUAAAGCACUUUAAGUUGGGAGGAAGGGCAGUAAAUUAAUACUUUGCUGUUUUGACGUUACCGACAGAAUAAGCACCGGCUAACUCUGUGCCAGCAGCCGCGGUAAUACAGAGGGUGCAAGCGUUAAUCGGAAUUACUGGGCGUAAAGCGCGCGUAGGUGGUUUGUUAAGUUGGAU
Molecule: ribosomal RNA, 503 nt
Filed under: Pseudomonas sp.
Lineage: Bacteria; Pseudomonadati; Pseudomonadota; Gammaproteobacteria; Pseudomonadales; Pseudomonadaceae
Description: bacterial SSU rRNA
Rfam family: Bacterial small subunit ribosomal RNA
Source: RNAcentral